AUGCAAGUCGAGCGAACGGACGAGAAGCUUGCUUCUCUGAUGUUAGCGGCGGACGGGUGAGUAACACGUGGAUAACCUACCUAUAAGACUGGGAUAACUUCGGGAAACCGGAGCUAAUACCGGAUAAUAUUUUGAACCGCAUGGUUCAAAAGUGAAAGACGGUCUUGCUGUCACUUAUAGAUGGAUCCGCGCUGCAUUAGCUAGUUGGUAAGGUAACGGCUUACCAAGGCAACGAUGCAUAGCCGACCUGAGAGGGUGAUCGGCCACACUGGAACUGAGACACGGUCCAGACUCCUACGGGAGGCAGCAGUAGGGAAUCUUCCGCAAUGGGCGAAAGCCUGACGGAGCAACGCCGCGUGAGUGAUGAAGGUCUUCGGAUCGUAAAACUCUGUUAUUAGGGAAGAACAUAUGUGUAAGUAACUGUGCACAUCUUGACGGUACCUAAUCAGAAAGCCACGGCUAACUACGUGCCAGCAGCCGCGGUAAUACGUAGGUGGCAAGCGUUAUCCGGAAUUAUUGGGCGUAAAGCGCGCGUAGGCGGUUUUUUAAGUCUGAUGUGAAAGCCCACGGCUCAACCGUGGAGGGUCAUUGGAAACUGGAAAACUUGAGUGCAGAAGAGGAAAGUGGAAUUCCAUGUGUAGCGGUGAAAUGCGCAGAGAUAUGGAGGAACACCAGUGGCGAAGGCGACUUUCUGGUCUGUAACUGACGCUGAUGUGCGAAAGCGUGGGGAUCAAACAGGAUUAGAUACCCUGGUAGUCCACGCCGUAAACGAUGAGUGCUAAGUGUUAGGGGGUUUCCGCCCCUUAGUGCUGCAGCUAACGCAUUAAGCACUCCGCCUGGGGAGUACGACCGCAAGGUUGAAACUCAAAGGAAUUGACGGGGACCCGCACAAGCGGUGGAGCAUGUGGUUUAAUUCGAAGCAACGCGAAGAACCUUACCAAAUCUUGACAUCCUUUGACAACUCUAGAGAUAGAGCUUUCCCCUUCGGGGGACAAAGUGACAGGUGGUGCAUGGUUGUCGUCAGCUCGUGUCGUGAGAUGUUGGGUUAAGUCCCGCAACGAGCGCAACCCUUAAGCUUAGUUGCCAUCAUUAAGUUGGGCACUCUAAGUUGACUGCCGGUGACAAACCGGAGGAAGGUGGGGAUGACGUCAAAUCAUCAUGCCCCUUAUGAUUUGGGCUACACACGUGCUACAAUGGACAAUACAAAGGGCAGCGAAACCGCGAGGUCAAGCAAAUCCCAUAAAGUUGUUCUCAGUUCGGAUUGUAGUCUGCAACUCGACUACAUGAAGCUGGAAUCGCUAGUAAUCGUAGAUCAGCAUGCUACGGUGAAUACGUUCCCGGGUCUUGUACACACCGCCCGUCACACCACGAGAGUUUGUAACACCCGAAGCCGGUGGAGUAACCUUUUAGGAGCUAGC
This 1418-nucleotide ribosomal RNA is filed under the name Staphylococcus argenteus. RNAcentral describes it as "bacterial SSU rRNA". It matches the Rfam family "Bacterial small subunit ribosomal RNA". The record is from RNAcentral. Lineage: Bacteria; Bacillati; Bacillota; Bacilli; Caryophanales; Staphylococcaceae.